Molecule: long non-coding RNA, 202 nt
Filed under: Elaeis guineensis (African oil palm)
Lineage: Eukaryota; Viridiplantae; Streptophyta; Magnoliopsida; Arecales; Arecaceae
Description: long non-coding RNA (EGUI_LNC033639)
Source: RNAcentral
GGAGGAAAGAGACUCAUAAUAUUUUAAUGCUUUAAACUUGGUGUCGGGUAUUUUUUUCGCUACUCUAAGAUUCAUGCCACUUAAUUGGGCUAGGUAUCACAUUUUGUUUACAUCAUUUAUUUCUUGAUAGAAAAUGAAGGAGAGAAUUGUUGCUCGGUUCAUUUCUUCAUUGCCAAGCAAGAGCUAUGCAAAUUACAUUACC